GUGGGGAAUAUUGGACAAUGGGCGAAAGCCUGAUCCAGCAAUGCCGCGUGAGUGAUGAAGGCCUUAGGGUUGUAAAGCUCUUUUACCAGGGAUGAUAAUGACAGUACCUGGAGAAUAAGCUCCGGCUAACUCCGUGCCAGCAGCCGCGGUAAUACGGAGGGAGCUAGCGUUGUUCGGAAUUACUGGGCGUAAAGCGCGCGUAGGCGGUUACUCAAGUCAGAGGUGAAAGCCCGGGGCUCAACCCCGGAACUGCCUUUGAAACUAGGUGACUAGAAUCUUGGAGAGGUCAGUGGAAUUCCGAGUGUAGAGGUGAAAUUCGUAGAUAUUCGGAAGAACACCAGUGGCGAAGGCGACUGACUGGACAAGUAUUGACGCUGAGGUGCGAAAGCGUGGGGAGCAAACAGGAUUAGAUACCCGUGUAGUCC
Molecule: ribosomal RNA, 425 nt
Filed under: uncultured bacterium
Lineage: Bacteria
Description: partial 16S ribosomal RNA
Rfam family: Bacterial small subunit ribosomal RNA
Source: RNAcentral